This is a ribosomal RNA of 2889 nucleotides. It matches the Rfam family "Bacterial large subunit ribosomal RNA". The record is from Rfam.
GGUCAAGCUACAAAGGGCUGACGGUGGAUACCUAGGCACGCAGAGGCGAUGAAGGACGCGGUGACCGGCGAAACGUUCCGGGGAGCUGGAAACAAGCUUAGAUCCGGAAGUGUCCGAAUGGGGCAACCCUAUGAACUACCCGCUGAAUAUAUAGGCGGGAAAGAGCUAACCGGGUGAACUGAAACAUCUUAGUAACCCGAGGAAGAGAAAGAAAACUCGAUUCCCUAAGUAGUGGUGAGCGAAGGGGGAAGAGCCUAAACCAUUUGGUUUACCAGAUGGGGUCGUGGGACAGACAUAAGAGACCAAUCAACUUAGACGAAUCCGUUGAAAGCGGAACCACAGAAGGUAAAAGUCCUGUAGUCGAAAAGAAGAGCAGCUCGUCUGGAUCCCGAGUAGCACGGAGCACGUGAAAUUCCGUGUGAAUCAGCGAGGACCACCUCGUAAGGCUAAAUACUACUGCGUGACCGAUAGUGAACCAGUACCGCGAGGGAAAGGUGAAAAGAACCCCGGAAGGGGAGUGAAAUAGAACAUGAAACCGUCAGUCUACAAGCAGUGGAAGAACGAUUUAACGUUCGACCGCGUGCCUGUUGAAGAAUGAGCCGGCGAGUUAUAAGCACUGGUAGGUUAAGGCAUACACUGCCGGAGCCAAAGCGAAAGCGAGUCUGAAUAGGGCGUUAAUCAGUGUUUAUAGACCCGAACCCGGGUGAUCUAACCAUGUCCAGGAUGAAGCUUGGGUAAAACCAAGUGGAGGUCCGAACCGACCGAUGUUGAAAAAUCGGCGGAUGAGGUGUGGUUAGGGGUGAAAUGCCAAUCGAACCCGGAGCUAGCUGGUUCUCCCCGAAAUGUGUUUAGGCGCAGCGGUCGAGAUUUAAACCUGGGGGUAAAGCACUGUUUCGGUGCGGGCUGCGAGAGCGGUACCAAAUCGAGGCAAACUCUGAAUACCAGGGGAACACUCGGCCAGUAAGACGGUGGGGGAUAAGCUUCAUCGUCAAGAGGGAAACAGCCCAGACCACCAGCUAAGGUCCCCAAAUUGUCACUCAGUGAUAAAGGAGGUGGGAGUGCAAAGACAACCAGGAGGUUUGCCUAGAAGCAGCCAUCCUUGAAAGAGUGCGUAAUAGCUCACUGGUCAAGCGCUCCUGCGCCGAAAAUGAAUGGGGCUAAGUGACAUACCGAAGCUGUGGAAUACAUAUUUUGUAUUGGUAGGGGAGCGUUCUAUAUGGGGUGAAGCACUAGCGGCAAGCAGGUGUGGACUGUAUAGAAGUGAGAAUGUCGGCUUGAGUAGCGAAAAUAUUGGUGAGAAUCCAAUACCCCGAAACCCUAAGGGUUCCUCCGGCAGGCUCGUCCGCGGAGGGGUAGUCGGGACCUAAGGCGAGGCCAAAUGGCGUAGUCGAUGGACAACGGGUUAACAUUCCCGUACCUUCGGUUGUUGGUGUAGAGUGACGGAGAAGGCUGCCGCCAGCCAGAUGUUGGUUACUGGUUCAAGUGUUCGAGGUGUUGAGGGACGGCGAAAACGUCCUGAGCUGAGGCACGAGUACGAGACCCUACGGGGUCGAAGUGGUAGGAGUCCAGCUUCCAAGAAAAGCUCAUUGCACCAUAAACAAUCGAGGCCCGUACCCGAAACCGACACAGGUAGGGAGGUAGAGAAUACUAAGGGGCGCGAGAUAACUCUCUCUAAGGAACUCGGCAAAAUGGCCCCGUAACUUCGGGAGAAGGGGUGCCCCCUGAUGAGGGGGGUCGCAGUGAAGAGGCCCAGGCGACUGUUUAUCAAAAACACAGGUCUCCGCAAAGUCGCAAGACGCGGUAUGGGGGGCUGACGCCUGCCCAGUGCCGGAAGGUUAAGGAAGUCGGUCAGGGGGUAACCCUAAAGCUGGCGACUGAAGCCCCGGUGAACGGCGGCCGUAACUAUAACGGUCCUAAGGUAGCGAAAUUCCUUGUCGGGUAAGUUCCGACCCACACGAAAGGCGUAACGAUCUGGGCGCUGUCUCGGAGAGAGACUCGGCGAAAUAGGAGUGUCUGUGAAGAUACGGACUACCUACACCUGGACAGAAAGACCCUAUGAAGCUUUACUGUAGCCUGGAAUUGGGUUCGGGCUUGGCCUGCGCAGAAUAGGUGGGAGGCUUUGAAGUACCCCUUGUGGGGGGUAUGGAGCCAUCGGUGAGAUACCACUCUGGCCAAGCUAGAAUUCUAACCUUAACCCAUGAUCUGGGUAAGGAACCGUUUCAGGUGGGCAGUUUGACUGGGGCGGUCGCCUCCUAAAUGGUAACGGAGGCGCGCAAAGGUUCUCUCAGGCUGGUUGGAAAUCAGCCAACGAGUGUAAAGGCAUAAGAGAGCUUGACUGCAAGACAAACAAGUCGAGCAGGGACGAAAGUCGGCCUUAGUGAUCCGACGGUUCCGAGUGGAAGGGCCGUCGCUCAACGGAUAAAAGUUACUCUAGGGAUAACAGGCUGAUCUCCCCCAAGAGUCCACAUCGACGGGGAGGUUUGGCACCUCGAUGUCGGCUCAUCGCAACCUGGGGCGGAAGUACGUCCCAAGGGUUGGGCUGUUCGCCCAUUAAAGCGGUACGUGAGCUGGGUUCAGAACGUCGUGAGACAGUUCGGUCCAUAUCCGGUGUAGGCGCAAGAGCAUUGAGAGGAGCCUUCCUUAGUACGAGAGGACCGGGAAGGACGCACCGCUGGUGUACCUGUUAUCGUGCCAACGGUAAACGCAGGGUAGCCAAGUGCGGAGCGGAUAACCGCUGAAAGCAUCUAAGUGGGAAGCCCACCUCAAGAUGAGUGCUCUCAUGGAGUUAAUCCAGUAAGGUCACGGGCAGAACACCCGUUAAUAGGCGCUAGGUGGAAGUGCAGCAAUGUAUGUAGCCAAGGCGUACUAACAGACCGAGGGCUUGACCUC